UAGUGUGGUUUGAGAUUAUUUCUCAAAAACAUGCUAGAAGACUAUCUUGGAAAUCUUAGUUUCCCAGCUUGCUUCAUUUAGAACUACAAGAAAUUGGACCUACGACAACAACUUCUACGGAAACAGAUUGAAAAUUGUUGCCAUGUAUAGUCUAUUGCAACGGUUAAACCGUCACAUAUGAUUUAUAGUGUUAUCUCCAUAGAUUACCAAAUAACUGUUGCAGCUUUGUAAUAAUUGUUGCUAUAGAAGACCUGAUACAAUUGUCUUCUAUACUCAUUGUGAUAUAUAUUUUUUAGCAACAGGUUUAUUUCUAUUACUACGAUUUGUAGAAUCCCUCCGUAUGUUUCCCACAAUUUUCACAGUGCCGCCUAAAUGAAAAAAAAAAAAAAAAAGCAAUCCCUCCUUAUUCAUCACAUAUUUUUUGAUAAUCUCAAAAAAUAAAAAUACAUGGUGGGACCUUCAGUAACUACAACCUACAGAGGCUAGAUCUUUUUAUCGAAAAUUACACCACGACGUUUCUAGCUCUCACAAGCUUUCAUUUCUAUCCAAAUGUUUUUAAAAUCUUUUCAUUCAAUGGAGAAAAUGAUUCCUUGUUGAAACUUGCUCGAUCCAAAUUCUCAAUCUCACUGAAGAGUUCAAAAUCGCUUGCAAGAGAGUCGAAAAUUGCUAGUUUAUUCACUAAUUUCGAGACCCCUAACUUAACCGGUUCCGAAAUGCAAAUUAGGAUAAAAGAUUUUCAUUCUCAAAGCAUCUAAUUCAAGAAUAUCUUGGAAGCUCAACAGUGAAAUUAACCUUCCAACGUAGCUCCUUCUUACAAUCUCCACUUUUUCCUCGAUCUAACUUCUUCCAUGUGUUAACUAAAGAAUUUCCUUUCUAUGGAGGACAAACAUCUUCACCUGUGUUUCUUAUUUCAUUCCGAUCAAUGGAGACAGUAAAAUUUUGAGAAAGUUAAGAUGGUAGUCAAUCAAUUUAUGCAAAUGAGCCCGUUAUGGCACCUGAUCAUCCAGGUUAAGUAAGAUUGUAUGGACAUGGGAUUACCAAGGCUCUUUUGAAAAACAAAGUGGCAGAUUUUUUACCCCCUUCUAUUGUGGUUGAUUCUAAAAAAGGAUGCAUGAAAAGUUGAAAGACCAGAAAGAUAACAUGAAAAGAUGUUACAAUGAACAUUAUUGCAGAGCUUAAUUGUCUAAAUCGAGGAUUAGCACUUGAUCCUAGCAUGCUAAGAUUCAGUGUUCGUUCGCUUGGAUAAGAGGGUGUUAUUCCAGUAAUCAAUCAUCCAUCUGCUUGCACUAUCAAUGAAGGUGUCAAAAAUGAAGAAUGGAAAGAAUAAAGCAGUAAAGGAAACCUUACCUGCUACUUCAGAAGUAUUUUUAAUUGUUGAUAUGUUCUAAAAUUUAUUUUGCUAUUGUACAUUAUGAAAAAUAUCACAUAAUUUUUGGAAUCAUGUAAAUGUCAACUAAUGGUAAUUUGGCUUGAACAUUUUGAAUUUACGGAUGCAUAUGAUUAACUUUAUGGGUA
Long non-coding RNA from Solanum lycopersicum (tomato), 1515 nucleotides. RefSeq lists it as uncharacterized. NCBI's taxonomy places the organism in Eukaryota, Viridiplantae, Streptophyta, Magnoliopsida, Solanales, Solanaceae. The record is from RefSeq and is a predicted model, not a curated record.